UACAAGAAAGUCACUCCUGUUCACCCUCACCAUCGUCAUCUCUGCGCUUCUCACCUUCGCCAACCCUGUCGCGCACAACCCUCACCGUCGCCACCACUCACUCAUCUUCAUCACUCACGACUCACCACACCGUCAGUCAUCUUCAUUGUUGCUUCUCUUUGCUGCGCGCUCACAUUAGGAAGACUCUACCUCAACUGAAAGCCUCUCAUCAGUCGCUCACCAUCGUCAAGAAGGUUCUCUGUGUCCUACUACUUCAGAAUGCUGGGCCGAAAUCUAAGGAUGUCUCUGCAUGUUCCUCUUUUGUAAAAGGGAGAGAUUAAGCAUCAAAUUCUAAACAGUAUUAUCAAGGAUUUGGUAAGAUUAAUAGAGAUCAAAAGCAACUAACUUAUCCAGUGACCUAAAGGUCAUGGUAGCAGCCUCAUUCAUUGGGGCACUAGUUUAUGCAAUAGCUGCUGUUUUUGUAGUAUGUCAGUUCAAAACUAACUAGUAUUUUGCUACUAAGUAAAGGGAAUAUUUGCACUGACAGAGACACAAUACACAAUACACAA
Molecule: non-coding RNA, 548 nt
Organism: Arachis ipaensis
Lineage: Eukaryota; Viridiplantae; Streptophyta; Magnoliopsida; Fabales; Fabaceae
Source: RefSeq, a predicted model, not a curated record